CGCUGGCGGCGUGCCUAACACAUGCAAGUCGAGCGAGGAGAUCCUUCGGGAUGAUCCUAGCGGCGGACGGGUGAGUAACACGUGGGCAACCUGCCUCAUAGAGAGGAAUAGCCUUCCGAAAGGGAGAUUAAUACCUCAUAACAUUGCAGUUUCGCAUGGAACAGCAAUUAAAGGAGUAAUCCGCUAUGAGAUGGGCCCCGCGGCGCAUUAGCUAGUUGGUGAGGUAACGGCUCACCAAGGCGACGAUGCGUAGCCGACCUGAGAGGGUGAUCGGCCACAUUGGGACUGAGGCACGGCCCAGACUCCUACGGGAGGCAGCAGUGGGGAAUAUUGCACAAUGGGGGAAACCCUGAUGCAGCAACGCCGCGUGAGUGAUGACGGCCUUCGGGUUGUAAAGCUCUGUCUUCAGGGACGAUAAUGACGGUACCUGAGGAGGAAGCCACGGCUAACUACGUGCCAGCAGCAGC
This 467-nucleotide ribosomal RNA is filed under the name uncultured bacterium. RNAcentral describes it as "bacterial SSU rRNA". It matches the Rfam family "Bacterial small subunit ribosomal RNA", at positions 34 to 518 of the family's 1533-position model. The record is from RNAcentral.